UAAAUUCAAGGGAGUGAUAAUCAUACUAUUUCCAUUAUUAGCCUGUUGUUAUUUCUUUAGAUUCUCACCAUUUGCCAACAUUGUUUUCUGUAGAUUGCUGCUUUAUAUAGAUGGAUAGUAAAGGAUGCUAAAGUCCUUAAAAGUAAUCAGGGGAGAGCAACAAAAAUGGGAGAAGGACUGGAAGUUAUUCUGUAUGAGGAAAGACUGAGAACACUUGGGAUUGUCUACUCUGCAGGAGAGAAGGCUAAGAGGGGUCACCCGCCCCAAGAGACAGGAGGGCCCCAGAUCUGAGCAGCAAGUAACUUUUGGGUAGAAAGUGAAGACAAGCUGCAUCUGAUUGAAUAUAUACUGUAACUUCACCUCAUCCCACUGAGCAGUUUGAGUCAGAGGACAGAAGGGACCACUCUGAGUGCUGGGGAUGGUAAGUGAGGACUCAGGACUAAGACCUGCCUUCGCACACUGCCUCAGCUGUCUGUGUGGUUUGGAGGUCAGCCUGGAGCUGUGGGGAAGACCUAGAGCCAAAAUCUCGGAAGGGUUUGAGUGGAGCCCCUGUGCAAAAGACAGAAAGAACUUAGGGGUCUCUCAGAUUUGUCUGGUCAUCUAUGUUAUAUAAUAUCUGUGGUUAUACUCAGUGUCCUGACAUCCUUCACCUCUGAUAAGAAAGAAAUUUCCCAUCUGCAUUUGAAUCUUCUCUCCCCCUCCUCCAUUCCCUCUUCUGACCACUCUUUCCACAUUUGCUUGAUUCAGCACUUUCAGGAUCUGUGUGUGAGGCUGUUUUCUGUACACGCUAGCAAAUAAACAUAUGGAGCAGUCCAACAAACCCUGCUCUUGCUGAUUUCAUUGCCUGCUGGGCAGUAUAAUGAACCACCACAUAAACUCUUUGCCAGCAGUAUUUUGAGAUUAAUGGUUGAUAAAAUAAGCCCAAGAAUGGUAAUACAAGCGCUGAAAAAUAGACUCACAGAUUUCUCAGAAGAGAUGCAUUUUACUCUUGCUAUGCCCUGACAGGUAUCUUCCCAUGGGGCUGCAGUUUGCAAUGCAGAAUUUAAUCGGAUGUUCAAGAUAAUUAAAAACACAUUUUGAAGUGCUUUCGGGAAAGAGAUAUGUAGAAUGAAGGGAAAGUUCUUUGGACUUACAGACAAUGAUUUUACAGUUCAGUUCCCCUCAGCACUCCUAUUAAAAUGUUUCUUACUGUUACUUUCAGUCUGUUUGUAGAUUUACAGUAACAGCAAAACAAUUAUGGACACUGUAUUAUCAAAUAAAAUGCACAUUAGAAUGAUUUAUGUUUGUUUUUUUUUUAAAUCUCAGUAGCAGCAUUUCAUGCAGAGAUUAG
Molecule: long non-coding RNA, 1330 nt
Organism: Gallus gallus (chicken)
Lineage: Eukaryota; Metazoa; Chordata; Aves; Galliformes; Phasianidae
Source: Ensembl